GAUGAACGCUAGCGGCAGGCUUAAUACAUGCAGGUCGAGGGGCAGCAGGACUGUAGCAAUACAGUUGCUGGCGACCGGCAAACGGGUGCGGAACACGUACGCAACCUACCCAAAACUGGGGGAUAGCCCGGGGAAACCCGGAUUAAUACCUCGUAACCUUUUUAAGUGGCAUCACUUGAUAAGUAUAGCUCCGGCGGUUUUGGAUGGGCGUGCGCCUGAUUAGGUAGUUGGUGCGGGUAACGGCCCACCAAGCCUGCGAUCAGUAACUGGUGUGAGAGCACGACCAGUCACACGGGCACUGAGACACGGGCCCGACUCCUACGGGAGGCAGCAGUAAGGAAUAUUGGUCAAUGGACGCAAGUCUGAACCAGCCAUGCCGCGUGAAGGAUGAAGGUCCUCUGGAUUGUAAACUUCUUUUAUGGGGGACGAAACCCGGAUAUUCUUAUCCGAUUGACGGUACCUCAGGAAUAAGCACCGGCUAACUCCGUG
RNAcentral lists this ribosomal RNA (489 nucleotides) under uncultured bacterium. Its description in RNAcentral is "partial 16S ribosomal RNA". It matches the Rfam family "Bacterial small subunit ribosomal RNA", at positions 28 to 507 of the family's 1533-position model. The record is from RNAcentral.